RNAcentral lists this ribosomal RNA (242 nucleotides) under uncultured bacterium. Its description in RNAcentral is "partial 16S ribosomal RNA". It matches the Rfam family "Bacterial small subunit ribosomal RNA", at positions 111 to 353 of the family's 1533-position model. The record is from RNAcentral.
UAAUGUCUGGGAAACUGCCUGAUGGAGGGGGAGUAACUACUGGAAACGGUAGCUAAUACCGCAUAACGUCGCAAGACCAAAGAGGGGGACCUUCGGGCCUCUUGCCAUCGGAUGUGCCCAGAUGGGAUUAGCUAGUAGGUGGGGUAAAGGCUCACCUAGGCGACGAUCCCUAGCUGGUCUGAGAGGAUGACCAGCCACACUGGAACUGAGACACGGUCCAGACUCCUACGGGAGGCAGCAUG